CACACUUCCUGUCCUGCCCCUGGACUUUCAAGCCAAAACUUACAAAACAUCCUUUCCCCUGGAACCAAGUGCUUGCUUCGGGAGACCCACCCCUCCCCACGUCGGUGAUCUCAGCCUGCCCUCCCCUUCCUUCCGCGGAACCUCUCCCACAUGAGAGGCGCUCGGCUUCCCGAGCAGAGAUGCUGGAUCCGGCGUAGCAGGUGAUGCCUGCGGGAGCGAAGCGACCGGGGACCACUGCCCACGAGGCUGAAAUCACCAGGCCUGUUGACCGACUUUCGAAGCAGCAAACGGAGUCAAAAACUGAAGUUAUGAAAAGAAAGCCUCAAAAAAAAAAAAAAAAGAA
Molecule: non-coding RNA, 343 nt
Organism: Odocoileus virginianus texanus
Lineage: Eukaryota; Metazoa; Chordata; Mammalia; Artiodactyla; Cervidae
Source: RefSeq, a predicted model, not a curated record